Molecule: long non-coding RNA, 2164 nt
Organism: Micropterus dolomieu (smallmouth bass)
Lineage: Eukaryota; Metazoa; Chordata; Actinopteri; Centrarchiformes; Centrarchidae
Exons: 7
Source: RefSeq, a predicted model, not a curated record
CUAUAAUGCCUCACUGGCAACUGUGAGAUGGAGCCAUGAAAAAUAACAGAACAAAACAGCAGAAUAGUCAGGAAUUUAAAGGCAGGGGAUGAAAACCAAGCUGCGGCUUUAACCUUGAAGCUUGGUAGACAUGCAGGAGGCCUUGUUUGAAUGAGUUUGUUUAUGUCAGCCUCAAAAAAAAGAAGACAGAUAUGUGAUAUUGUUUUGAAUAUUUUCCCCACAAACUCCCCUAUAAUCCACUGUGUUCCAAGCUCAUUUCCUUGCAUAAGAAAAAGGCAGGUUGACAGGAAAAUUGCUGCCUCCGCCAACACAGUUUACAUUUGGAGCUGACAUCCCACUAACAACAGAGGAAACCAAAGGAUGCCUAGGUCAAGAGGAGAACAUAUUCUCAAAUCUGGCUACGACCAACCAGUAACUGAACAGAUUCAUCCUUCAGGCCUGACCUGGGAGCUGAGGCAGAAAUAUGAAUUUCAAACUGGGGUGGGGGGUGCCAUAUGGGAGCUCAGAAAAAUGGAAGUGGAUCGGAGAUAGACAAGAGAGGAAUCUGUCAUUCUUGGGCUCGGAUGUCGGGAUCUACGUGAGAGGCGAACUACAAAUUGACCCAGGGCAACAAGGACCCCUGAGCGAGACACUGCCUUGAAGGGAGCCCUGGCAAUUGUCUUUCUGUCUGUCUCCGAGCUCAAAGGUAAGACCAAUUAAAUAAGACUUGCAUUUGCAACACAACAACAAAAACCUCACUUUCUGGUCUUUUUCUGUGUGAUCCAUUUUUAAAGCAGACAAGAGUGGAGGACAGCGUUUGGGUGUAUGACUGCCAUGUUUUGCUUGCACACUUGCAGUAGUAGAGUGAGUAAGUAAAAGUGUCAGACUGCUGUAACAGACGGCCUCCGCGAGAUAAUUAGCCUGGAGUCAUUUGGAAGCUGCUCAGCUCUGCCCAGGUGCCCGCUGUGCACAGAAACAGACCAGACGACCUUUUACUCAGCUCCAUCCCACUGCAGUCACUUAAAACAGUGAUGGAUGCUUCCCUUAACAGCCCGCUCCCUACCAGCCCUUGUCCUCCUUUUCUCCCCCCCUCCCCCUCUUGUCUCCUCUGCUCCAGCACCACUCUCCCCUUAUUUGUCCCUUUUCCUCUCCUUGUUUUUUUUUUUACAAUCCUUUGCCUUUUACAGCCCGCCCAUUCUCUCUGUUCUUCCAGAGUGAUGAGGAGGAAGAGGAAGAAGAAAGGUGGGGGGAUUGAAGUGAAGUGAAGGGGGCGUUUCCUCCUGGUGCAGAGUCAGGCCCUCCCUCCCGUCAGUGCCUCAUUUGUAUGCAGCGGCUGUUGCUCAGGUGACAUGGCCGCUGGAUUCGAUCCCGACUGCGGGAACAUCAGCAGCGUGGCGGAGAGUGGGAUAGCAGGUAAGGACAAUGAGAACAGGUGGGAGAAAGAGAGGAGAGAGAGAGGGAGGUGAAGAGGGAGGAGGACAAAAGGGGUGGAAGGAAAGGAUGGAUAUCUUUGAAGGACUUAGCACCCCACACAUACACUUUAUACUGCUGUAAUGCAUGCGCACAUAUUAUCAGGUUCGAGUCCAGCCUCCCUCCCAAAGCCGUAUCUACAGUUCAGCACAGGAAGUGUGUGUUUUCUUUAAUUAAAAUGACUAUUACUCUCUGAGAUAUGCUAGAUGAGUUAUAGUAGUAAUAAAUAUCUAGGAACAUGCAGUUUUUUUUUCUGUACAUCAUUUGACUUGGUGGGUGUUUUCAAAAUUAAUGGAAUAUCUUUUUCUUGUAUUUUCUUAACAAAGAAUGGAAUAUUUGUAGAUGUUACAAUGUCUACUUGUAUAUAGAGUGAUUUCAAUAAAGGUCUUUGUUGAAUAUGUCCUGCGUUUGGUUAUUUAAAAAUUUAAUGGUUUAAUCCAUGUAAGCAAACAAGGAAGGAAUCCUGCAGUUUCCCCUCAAAACAUUUUCAUUGUUUUCACUUGUGAGGUUUUCAUUCCCCUUGAUAUUGGUUUUGUUGCCAAAGGCAACAAAGAGAGAGGUGUAUUACACAAAUACUCAUACAUUCUGAGUGUGUGUGUCAGAGGAGAGGGUAAGAAAGGGAGGAAAUAGAGUCUGUGUGUAGGUGUGUUUUUGUUUGCUUUAUUUGUGUGUGUGUGUGUGUGUGAGAGAGAACUAGACACAGACUUUGUGUGUU